RNAcentral lists this long non-coding RNA (210 nucleotides) under Vigna radiata. RNAcentral describes it as "long non-coding RNA (VRAD_LNC017781)". Lineage: Eukaryota; Viridiplantae; Streptophyta; Magnoliopsida; Fabales; Fabaceae. The record is from RNAcentral.
GUGUGUGUCUAUGUGUUUGUGUAUGUGAUGUGUGUAUUUGUGUUUGCGUGUGUUUAUGUGGGUGAUAUGUGUGUGUAGGUGAAUGGAAGUGUAAAUAUAGGUUUGUGUAUGUGUGUGUAAUAUAUGUGUUUGUAUGGGCCGGUGUGUGCGUAAUAUUUGUGUGUGUUUGUUUGUAUGUAUGCAUACAUGCACACACACAAACACACACAC